RNAcentral lists this ribosomal RNA (110 nucleotides) under Meloidogyne arenaria. Its description in RNAcentral is "18S rRNA". It matches the Rfam family "Eukaryotic small subunit ribosomal RNA", at positions 1499 to 1612 of the family's 1831-position model. Lineage: Eukaryota; Metazoa; Nematoda; Chromadorea; Rhabditida; Meloidogynidae. The record is from RNAcentral.
UACACUGGCAAAAUCAACUCUUGUCCUACCCUGAAAGGGGCGGGUAAACCAUUGAAAAUUUGCCGUGAUUGGGAUCGGAAAUUGCAAUUAUUUUCCGUGAACGAGGAAUU